This is a non-coding RNA of Paramuricea clavata, 416 nucleotides long. Lineage: Eukaryota; Metazoa; Cnidaria; Anthozoa; Malacalcyonacea; Plexauridae. The record is from the annotation of a GenBank genome assembly.
GCUUUGUUUCGGAUAGUUCACUAUUCGUCCUCAGGCUACUUACACAAAUUGUUCUUAAAUUUGACGUGUUUAAACGUUCAUUUCACGCAAUCUAAUUUUUAUUAAACCUGGUAGUUACUUUAAAAUGUUUCAAUCUAGAAACUGUAGCGGUUCUUUUUAAUACCUAGUUUUUGGAAAAAUUAUCAAUUGGAUAUUCAUUAGGGUAUUUACGGAGAUGAGCAGUGCAUUCAUCGUACUGUUCGGCCAGGUGUCGAGGCAUCACAUCGUAAACGUCAGUAAACAGAUUUUUCAUGUUUGACUUUGCUGCUUUUUCCGCCCGCUUUACGGUCUGUAAGACCUGUAAUCGGUCAUCUCGUUUCCAGUUUUCCUCCUGUUUGUUGUUCAACCAAUUCAUCAACACCAUAUAACGUCUAAGU